Molecule: transfer RNA, 65 nt
Filed under: Antodynerus aff. limbatus GX
Lineage: Eukaryota; Metazoa; Arthropoda; Insecta; Hymenoptera; Vespidae
Also listed under: 2 other names
Description: tRNA-Phe
Source: RNAcentral
AUUUAAAUAGCUUAAAGGAGAGUUUAAUAUUGAAGAUAUUAAGGUGAUUAAUCAAUCUUUAAAUA